AUUGAACGCUGGCGGCAUGCCUUACACAUGCAAGUCGAACGGUAACAGGUCUUCGGAUGCUGACGAGUGGCGAACGGGUGAGUAAUACAUCGGAACGUGCCUAGUAGUGGGGGAUAACUACUCGAAAGAGUGGCUAAUACCGCAUGAGAUCUACGGAUGAAAGCAGGGGAUCGCAAGACCUUGUGCUACUAGAGCGGCCGAUGGCAGAUUAGGUAGUUGGUGGGAUAAAAGCUUACCAAGCCGACGAUCUGUAGCUGGUCUGAGAGGACGAUCAGCCACACUGGGACUGAGACACGGCCCAGACUCCUACGGGAGGCAGCAGUGGGGAAUUUUGGACAAUGGGCGAAAGCCUGAUCCAGCAAUGCCGCGUGCAGGAUGGAGGCCUUCGGGUUGUAAACUGCUCUUGUACGGAACGAAAAGCCCCGGGUUAAUACCCUGGGGUCAUGACGGUACCGUAAGAAUAAGCACCGGCUAACUACGUGCCAGCAGCCGCCGUAA
Molecule: ribosomal RNA, 498 nt
Filed under: uncultured bacterium
Lineage: Bacteria
Description: partial 16S ribosomal RNA
Rfam family: Bacterial small subunit ribosomal RNA
Source: RNAcentral